UGGGGAAUUUUGGACAAUGGGCGCAAGCCUGAUCCAGCCAUUCCGCGUGAGUGAAGAAGGCCUUCGGGUUGUAAAGCUCUUUCGGCAGGAAAGAAAUCGGCCCCUCUAACAUAGGGGCUGGAUGACGGUACCUGAAGAAGAAGCACCGGCUAACUACGUGCCAGCAGCCGCGGUAAUACGUAGGGUGCGAGCGUUAAUCGGAAUUACUGGGCGUAAAGCGUGCGCAGGCGGUUUUGUAAGACAGGUGUGAAAUCCCCGGGCUUAACCUGGGAACUGCGCUUGUGACUGCAAGGCUAGAGUACGGCAGAGGGGGGUGGAAUUCCUGGUGUAGCAGUGAAAUGCGUAGAUAUCAGGAGGAACACCAAUGGCGAAGGCAGCCCCCUGGGUCGAUACUGACGCU
RNAcentral lists this ribosomal RNA (400 nucleotides) under uncultured bacterium. RNAcentral's name for it is "bacterial SSU rRNA". It matches the Rfam family "Bacterial small subunit ribosomal RNA", at positions 355 to 747 of the family's 1533-position model. The record is from RNAcentral.